GCCCACAGACAGAUCAGUAGAUAGAGCAUGAGACUCUUCAUCUCAGGGUUGUGGAUCCAAGCCCCACAUUGGGCA
Molecule: non-coding RNA, 75 nt
Organism: Podarcis lilfordi (Lilford's wall lizard)
Lineage: Eukaryota; Metazoa; Chordata; Lepidosauria; Squamata; Lacertidae
Source: the annotation of a GenBank genome assembly